Molecule: ribosomal RNA, 637 nt
Filed under: Tomentella sp. 2 SE-2015
Lineage: Eukaryota; Fungi; Basidiomycota; Agaricomycetes; Thelephorales; Thelephoraceae
Description: eukaryotic LSU rRNA
Rfam family: 5.8S ribosomal RNA (bases 219-373)
Source: RNAcentral
ACCUGCGGAAGGUCAUUACCGAAUUGUCAACACGAGUUGUUGCUGGUCCUCAAACGGGGGCAUGUGCACGCUCUGUUCACACAUCCACUCACACCUGUGCACCCUCUGUAGUUCUGUGGCCUGGGGGUCUCUGCCCUCUUGCUGUGGUUCUAUGUCUUUACACACACACCGUACCAAAGUCUCAUGGAAUGCACAUCGCGUUUAACGCAAUACAAUACAACUUUCAGCAACGGAUCUCUUGGCUCUCGCAUCGAUGAAGAACGCAGCGAAAUGCGAUAAGUAAUGUGAAUUGCAGAAUUCAGUGAAUCAUCGAAUCUUUGAACGCACCUUGCGCCCUUUGGCUAUUCCGAAGGGCAUGCCUGUUUGAGUAUCAUGAACACCUCAACUCUCAUGGCUUGCCAUGAUGAGCUUGGACUUUGGAGGUCUUGCUGGCCAGCGGUCGGCUCCUCUCAAAUGAAUCAGCUUGCCAGUGUUUGGCGGCGCCACAGGUGUGAUAACUAUCUACGCUUGUGGUUUCCCGCCAGGUUUCCUUCAGUGAUGGAGGUUCGCUGGAGCUCAUAAAUGUCCCUCCCCAGUGAGGACAACUUCAUGAAUGUUUGAUCUCAAAUCAGGUAGGACUACCCGCUGAACUUAAGCA